Molecule: ribosomal RNA, 435 nt
Filed under: uncultured bacterium
Lineage: Bacteria
Description: bacterial SSU rRNA
Rfam family: Bacterial small subunit ribosomal RNA
Source: RNAcentral
AACGAACGCUGGCGGCAUGCCUAACACAUGCAAGUCGAACGAGACCUUCGGGUCUAGUGGCGCACGGGUGCGUAACGCGUGGGAAUCUGCCCUUUGCUUCGGAAUAACAGUUAGAAAUGACUGCUAAUACCGGAUGAUGUCUUCGGACCAAAGAUUUAUCGGCAAAGGAUGAGCCCGCGUAGGAUUAGGUAGUUGGUGGGGUAAAGGCCUACCAAGCCGACGAUCCUUAGCUGGUCUGAGAGGAUGAUCAGCCACACUGGGACUGAGACACGGCCCAGACUCCUACGGGAGGCAGCAGUGGGAAUAUUGGACAAUGGGCGCAAGCCUGAUCCAGCAAUGCCGCGUGAGUGAUGAUGGCCUUGGUCGUAAAGCUCUUUACCAGGGAUGAUAAUAGACAGUACCUGGAGAAUAAGACUCCGGCUAACUCCGUGCCAG